AUUGAACGCUGGCGGCAGGCCUAACACAUGUAAGUCGAACGAGUGGCGGACGGGUGAGUAAUGUCUGGGAAACUGCCUGAUGGAGGGGGAUAACUACUGGAAACUGUAGCUAAUACCGCAUACCAUCGGAUGUGCCCAGAUGGGAUUAGCUAGUAGGUGGGGUAACGGCUCACCUAGGCGACGAUCCCUAGCUGGUCUGAGAGGAUGACCGGCAACACUGGAACGGGAACACGGUCCAGACUCCUACGGGAGGCAGCAGUGGGGAAUAUUGCACAAUGGGCGCAAGCUGGAUGCAGCAAUGCCGCGGGUAUGAAGAAGGCCUUCGGGUUUUAAAGUACUUUCAGCGGGGAGGCGUUACCCGCAGAAGAAGCACCGGCUAACUCCGUGCCAGCAGCCGCGGUAAUUC
This 406-nucleotide ribosomal RNA is filed under the name uncultured bacterium. RNAcentral describes it as "partial 16S ribosomal RNA". It matches the Rfam family "Bacterial small subunit ribosomal RNA", at positions 30 to 526 of the family's 1533-position model. The record is from RNAcentral.